GCAACUCGCCUGCACGAAGUCGGAUUGCUAGUAAUCGUAGGUCAGCAUACUACGGUGAAUACGUUCCCGGGCCUUGUACACACCGCCCGUCAAACCAUGAGAGUUGGCAACACCCGAAGUCGGUAGUCUAACCGCAAGGAGGACGCCGCCGAAGGUGGGGUUGAUGAUUAGGGUUAAGUCGUAACAAGGUAUC
RNAcentral lists this ribosomal RNA (193 nucleotides) under uncultured bacterium. Its description in RNAcentral is "partial 16S ribosomal RNA". It matches the Rfam family "Bacterial small subunit ribosomal RNA", at positions 1307 to 1500 of the family's 1533-position model. The record is from RNAcentral.